This 376-nucleotide ribosomal RNA is filed under the name uncultured bacterium. RNAcentral's name for it is "bacterial SSU rRNA". It matches the Rfam family "Bacterial small subunit ribosomal RNA", at positions 30 to 420 of the family's 1533-position model. The record is from RNAcentral.
ACUGAACGCUGGCGGCAUGGCUAAAACAUGCAAGUCGAACGGACCCGCAAGGGUUAGUGGCGGAAGGGUGAGUACAAGUAUCGAACGUACCCCGAGGUGGGGGAUAGGCACGGGAAACUGUGCGUAAUACCCCAUGAUCUCGAGAGAGCAAAGCAUCCCCUUAAAAGGCUGCGCCUUGGGAGCGGCGAUAUACCUAUCAGGUAGUUGGCGGGGUAACGGCCCACCAAGCCAGAGACGGGAGCCGGUGUGAGAGCACGACCGGCCACAUCGAGACUGAGACACUGCUCGGACUCCUACGGGAGGCUGCAGUAACGAAUAUUCCGCAAUGCGCGAAAGCGUGACGGAGCAAUGCCGCGUGCAGGAUGAAGCGGUUUCG